GAUGAACGCUGGCGGCGUGCCUAAUACAUGCAAGUCGAGCGAACAGAUGAGGAGCUUGCUCCUCUGACGUUAGCGGCGGACGGGUGAGUAACACGUGGAUAACCUACCUAUAAGACUGGGAUAACUUCGGGAAACCGGAGCUAAUACCGGAUAAUAUAGUGAACCGCAUGGUUCAAUAGUGAAAUACGGUUUUGCUGUCACUUAUAGAUGGAUCCGCGCCGCAUUAGCUAGUUGGUAAGGUAACGGCUUACCAAGGCAACGAUGCGUAGCCGACCUGAGAGAGUGAUCCGCCACACUGGAACUGAUACACGGUCCAGACUCCUACGGGAGGCAGCAGUAGGGAAUCCUCCGCAAUGGGCGGAAGCCUGACGGAGCAACGCCGCGUGAGUGAUGAAGGUCUUCGGAUCGUAGAACUCUGUUAUGAGGGAAGAACAAAUGUGUAAGUAACUAUACGCGUCUUGACGAUACCUAAUCAGAAAGCCUCGGCUAACUACGUG
This 497-nucleotide ribosomal RNA is filed under the name uncultured bacterium. Its description in RNAcentral is "partial 16S ribosomal RNA". It matches the Rfam family "Bacterial small subunit ribosomal RNA", at positions 28 to 507 of the family's 1533-position model. The record is from RNAcentral.